This 523-nucleotide ribosomal RNA is filed under the name uncultured bacterium. Its description in RNAcentral is "partial 16S ribosomal RNA". It matches the Rfam family "Bacterial small subunit ribosomal RNA", at positions 28 to 523 of the family's 1533-position model. The record is from RNAcentral.
GACGAACGCUGGCGGCGUGCCUAAUACAUGCAAGUCGAACGCUUUUUCUUUCACCGGAGCUUGCUCCACCGAAAGAAAAAGGGUGGCGAACGGGUGAGUAACACGUGGGUAACCUGCCCAUCAGAAGGGGAUAACACUUGGAAACAGGUGCUAAUACCGUAUAACACUAUUUUCCGCAUGGAAGAAAGUUGAAAGGCGCUUUUGCGUCACUGAUGGAUGGACCCGCGGUGCAUUAGCUAGUUGGUGAGGUAACGGCUCACCAAGGCAACGAUGCAUGGCCGACCUGAGAGGGUGAUCGGCCACACUGGGACUGAGACACGGCCCAGACUCCUACGGGAGGCAGCAGUAGGGAAUCUUCGGCAAUGGACGAAAGUCUGACCGAGCAACGCCGCGUGAGUGAAGAAGGUUUUCGGAUCGUAAAACUCUGUUGUUAGAGAAGAACAAGGAUGAGAGUAAAACGUUCAUCCCUUGACGGUAUCUAACCAGAAAGCCACGGCUAACUACGUGCCAGCCGCCGCGGUAA